Lutra lutra (Eurasian river otter) is the source of this 6232-nucleotide long non-coding RNA. RefSeq lists it as uncharacterized. NCBI's taxonomy places the organism in Eukaryota, Metazoa, Chordata, Mammalia, Carnivora, Mustelidae. The record is from RefSeq and is a predicted model, not a curated record. The transcript is spliced from 4 exons.
AGGAGCCCUUUACUCGCGGGAUUCCUGUUCAAGGCUCCCGGUACGGAGAGAGAGAGCCCGCGGGACCGCAGCUUUGGCAAGAACACACCCAUCCGUCGGUGGGAGGAUAGAGGAAGUUUGUUGCUAAAAGCUGCGAAAUUCAACCUCAGCUCCUCGAAUGAACAGAACGGGAAACCCAAGGGUCAGGAGACGGCGGGGAGCUGAGUUCAGAGCCGAAAACUUCGCGUUUCUGGAAGGCAAGACGAAAGAGGAGCCCCAACAUUGAUCCCGAGACAGUGGGCGGAGCAAUACUGAAAGAUAACCGCGGCAAAGAGAUUUAACUCACCCUUCUCCAAGAUUUGGGGCGCGGGGCCUUAUUUCCUGGUCUUUCUGCCCUGUCUCAGAAUACUGAAUAUGGUGCGUGCCCAGUUCCGUUUGUUGACUGGGUGGAUUUGCGAGUGUCCGUGGCCGUCCCCAUCAUUGAUGGGAUAAAGAACAUCAGGGGGAGUGAAGGGAAAGAAGAAGAUAGGUAAGAAGAAGAUGAGCGAAGUGGGAAGUUAGCCUUUCAAAAGACUCCUUGAUUCUUCUUUCUUCUGGGUCUUCAGUUCCUACCAGCAAAGAAUGAAUUUUCCCCUCUCAUCGUGAGGAUUAAGUUGGAAGGAAAAGGGCUGGCUGGAGGUGGGGGAGACUUUAGGAGUUAGGACACAGCAACAUAGCAUCUUCAAGCGUGAUGUUUUUAUUUACCAAGAGAAAGAAAUAAUGGUUCUUUUGAGUUCAACUGAGUAAAUAUUGUUUAGGGAAAAGAAUUUGCCAGACCUGGAAAUAUUAAGACAAGCAAAACUGGUCUCUGACUUAUGGGACGCAUGAUUACAGCAUGAAUACAUAAUUAUGGCAUGAAUAACAAUGCCUACCACCUACACAGCACCUACCAUGUGCCUUGCAUUGUGCUUAGUACUUUGCCUAGGUUAACUCUCUUCUAAUUCUCAGAACCACCUCUGAGGCAGUUAACAUUAUCCCAGUUUUAUAGGUGAGAAAAACUGAGGCACAGAGUGGCUGUGUAACUUCCCCUAGGUCACACAGGUGGUGAGUGGCAGGUCAGGGCGUGGGCUCCAGAGCCUCUGCCCUUCACCAUGCUGCUUCUGUGAGGGCUGGGCAGGAAGGAAAGCUGUACUCAAGGAGCGCUGUAACAUCUAGAGUUGUACUGAUAAUUAUUUUUAAGAUGACUAAUUCUAAGAAUUCAAACAGAGGAAGAAUUGAAUGCUGUUUUCAUAAGGCUUCCAGAAGAGAGAGAUGAAGAAAGGAACCUUGCCAAAGGUGAAGGGUCCAUACGUGUGGUACAGGCUUGCAUGCAGGGCCUGGGGCUCAAGCUGCCUGGGUUUGGAUCCAGCAAGCCUUAGGUGCCCAGCUAACUUGUUUAUGCUUCAGAUUCCUCUUUGGUAGAAGAAUAUCUGCCUCAUAGGUGGCUUAAAGUCAUAUGUCAUGAUGAGUGCAAAGUGCCUAACACUAUACGUUGUGAGGAGUCAAUAAGCAUUGACCAUCAAUUAAAUCUGAGCCUCCACGUGAGAGCGUUGGCUCGGAUCCCGGUCCCAUUGAUCACUGGGUCUUCCAGUGCCAGGCACGGAACUGUGUACUUAAUAGAUGCUCUAUAAAAUUGAUUAGAUGGAUGAGUGCAAGAUGUUGGACUUGGCGUAAGGAAAAAUUGGGAACAGAGACACUGAGUGCAUGAUGAAAUAGUAAUAAUACGUGCACGUAUUUUUGCAUGUUUUCUCAUAUUCCUUCUUGCCAUCCUCGCUUUAUGAAUAAGGAAAGUGAGGCCUAGAGAUUGAGUAAUAACUUGCUUACAUAACUAAGAAGUGUCAGGUACCCCAUUUGGACUCAGGUCAAGAGACUCUAGAGUACGCGUUCCUUAUCAGUGUGUUCCCUGCCUCAUAGCAUAGCAGGAAAGCAGGGACAAGGGAAGAGGCAGAUUCUUGGGCAAUGUAUUGCAGGUGCAAAGUGAAAUUCUUCACUUUAGGCAGAGAUAAGGAUGUGUAUGCGUGUGUGUGUGCACAUGUACGUAUAUAAUUUUAAACCUUAGAGGUGGUUAGUUAUCAUUUGAAAACCAUAAUCAGUAAUUCAAAUCCCCAACCCUGGUAGUUAGCAUUAAAAGAUUCUCAACUUUGGAGACCACUGUAUCAAGCGUCACCAUUUAAAUCUGCACCUGGAGAGUUCACUCAUUAGCUCAAGAUACUAGAGAUAAUUAUUCAUGGGGAAGCCACUUAGCAAGACAUAUUAUAUAAGCAGCUCCUGCUCUGUGUAGAGUAAGAAUGAGAACAAGGUUCUCAUACCAGUGGAGUGGGUUUUGGCUGUCUUAGUCCACUUGAGUAGCUGUAACAAAAAAGCAUGAGCUAAAUGGCUUAUAAACAACAGACUUUUUUAUUUCUCAUAGUUCUGAAGUCCAAGAUCAAGGUGCCAGCAGAUUCACUGUCAGCUCCUACUUGGUUCUUCCUUGUGCACGGGAAAGCUAGUGAGUUUUACACAUUCGUUUUGAAUCCAACCACUUCACUGAACUCUCCCCGCGGAUGAAACAGUCUACUGGUUGAAUGUCUUGGAUUGUCUAAAAAGCAGUGGUAACAACCAGCUGCUCAGUGUUCCACCUAAAAACCAUCAGGAACCUGACCAGUAUCCUAACCCUCAUUCUCCAAGCCGAGUUCUCUGACCCUUCCCAGAGGUCCGACAACUGUUUAUUUGUGCCGUGACUCUUCAAAAGCAACCCUAUGCUUGUCAGAGCUGAAUCUCAGAGCCUGAAAAUAAUGGAUGCUGAGCGGGAACAGAAUCAUCACAGGCUGCCUUCCUCAAGGAAAACCGAAGCCGCGAUGACGCCAAGGACACUCAUGGGGGCCCUCGCCACGGAAGAAAGAACAUAUUUUUGAAAGUGGGGAAUUUUAAGAACAAGUUACUGCUCUGCAGGCCCUCAUCAAACACUCCUGUCCCUCCUCCACCAGGACUGGUGAAUGAAGGAGCUACUCACCACACUAAGGAAAGCCAGACCGUUGGGAAGUAUGUCAAUAUCAUCUGCGCCAGCUUCUGUAAGUUCAAGAGAUAGAUAAAUGUCACGUUCAAAUUCUAUUAUUUGUUAGGUCUAACUGGGACUUAGUUUACUUUGUCGGUGCCUGCAUUUUUAGGAAUGGUUCUAAUUUUUUCCAAGGAACCUACCUACCACUCUCUUUAAUAUACGUCAGUCCAAAUCCCUUCCUGCAGUGAACCUCUGACUUUAAAUGUUAGAUAUUUUAUGUUUACUCAAAUCAAAGUCAAGCAAUCACUACAUUUCCAGCUAUAAUACAGGAAAAGUUGACAUCUGUACACUCUUCUGAUAAACAUCCAGAUGUCUCUACAAAAGUAAUUGACAUCAGGGGAAUAUUAACUUUCAGAGAGAAGGGCUCAUAGUCAUUUAACCAUGCAAAUAUCCUUGUCCCUUUCUCUGCUCAUUCAAUCUGAAGCAAACACAGACAUUUCUCUCAUUAACAGAGAUAAAACACCUGGGAUUAUAUAUGCCCUCUUUAAAAAACAAUGUCUGCUUGUUCUCAUAAGCAAAGAAAACCUUCCAUUUAAUCUUUAAAUUUAGGCUUUAAACUACAGAAAACAACCAGCAAAAGAAAAUUAAUGAAAAAUACCAUGCACCUAAGCCAGCUGAAUCUUCUAAUGCUUGUCUCUGAGCAGGCUACAAUUACUAUUGAUUGUUUAUUGAUUGUCUGCAGUCCACUCCACACAGCACAGCAAAUAAUUAGACACAAGACCUUCCCAGUGGUCUCACUGUGUAAAUUCCGCAGACAGAUAAUAGACCCAAACACAAGAAAAGAAGAAUAAAAAUGGCUUAGAUUAAGCCAAAUCAUGACACAUUCUUUGAGUCCACAAAAUCCAAUCUUCCCCUUUAAGGCCUCUCCAAAGACUUUCUCCAAGAUUAUUUCUAGGUUGUCAAAAACAAACAGCAUCUACGCAGCCGUUUUGGUUUUGAUUCAUGAGUUUGCAUUUGGCUGGUUGCCUCCAGUGUCACUGGCUCUAUCAUAGUGGAGAAAAGCAGAAGAAAAUACAAAUGCCAAGAACUUCGCUUUGCAAAGACAACUGCAAUCAUGAACACCUGCAAAGUCUGCUCCUUGGCAAGAAGAUAUAUACAUAUAUAUGCUUACACAUGGCCUAAUGGAGGAAUUCUUCACCUGGGCUGUGGAUUCCUAAGGAGCCACAAAUGGGUUCUAUAGUCUGUGAACUUGUUAAAAUUCUAUGCAAUGCAAAAUGUCAUCUGUAUGCUCAGCUGGGAAAUUGUCUAUGAAAAGGAUCCUUGGCUUUCAGCAGUUUUAAAAAAAGGUCAGUAAUACCUCAAAAAAAGCUAAGAAUCCCUAGUUUCUAGACCCAUGGUGGUUCUCAACUGGUGAUGCGCAGGGAUGGGGGGAAUUCAACCCCACAUGUGUAUAUAUGCAGCCACACAUACAAACACACACACACACUCAAAGGCACAGGUCAGUCUGAAGUUUUACUUUUUGGAUCCACUGAAUAGGAAGUCAAUUAAGUAAAACUGGUUGCUUCUGAAAAAUUACUUAAAACAAUUUAAUUUCAAUGUGUACGUGCUAAUACAUAAAGUACAAGAAAAGGUAUAUAGAAACAAAUUAAGAUUUUAUUUAUUUAUCUGACAGAGAUCACAAGUAGGCAGAGAGGCAGGCAGAAAGAGAGAGGGAGAAGCAGGCUCCCUGCUGAGCAGAGAGCCCAAUGCGGGGCUCAAUCCCAGGACCCUGAGAUCAUGACCUGAGCCGAAGGCAGAGGCUUUAACCCACUGAACCACCCAGGAACCCCAGAUAUAUAGAAACAAAUUAACCAGGUUUCUUUGGGUGGUAGGAUUAUGAAUGAUUUUCAUUUUCUUCUUUAUACUUUUCUUCGUUUAAAAUUUUCUACAAACAACGGUACCAUUUUAGUAAUCAAGAGAAGAACGUUUUUUAAAAGAUAUUUGCAUUUCAACCACACUGUAACUUCUUUCUGUUUAACCCCAUUGCCUAAUUCCAAGGAAAAAAAAGUCUCAUCUGCAGUUUUCUUUAGAAUAUUUUCCAGAUCUACCCCCCACCGCAUCUUCAUUUCUAUAUCCAUCACUACAAGAGAAUGUUACCAUUUCUUAUCACUGCUGCGGUGUGAUUACUGCAAGAGUAGUCAAUGCUGGAGAAAUUUUUUCUCCUCUAAUUUAAUAAUAGGAGUAGUACCAGCAGUAAUAGUAAUAGCUAUUAAGGUAUAGAGUUUACUGAGGGCCACACUCCUUGUAAACACUUUACAUACAUUAUUUCACAUAAUUUCCUAUACUCUAAGAAGCACUAUUAUCUGUUACUUCAGAGUUAAGAAUAUAGGGCCUUUGAGCGGUUAGGCAAAUUGCUUAAGGUCUGGGACUUUGAGUCCUUUUGUCCUUCUUGAGUCCCAAGAAGCUGGGACUCAAAUCCUUUUGUUCUGACUUCAAAGCAUACAGAAAAAAGACAAUGUAGCAUAGAAUGAAUUCUCCCUGUCAGAACCAUCACUGCUUCCUCUCUGAAGACACUUGACUUUGUAAAUUUGACUGUGGUCAGUUCCAUAGGUUGGCUUCCCCUGUAAAAGUUUUGCUUCCAUGCCUCCUCCCAAGACCUUCACCAAUCCAUACUCUGCACUUUUCUGUACAAGCUCAUUCAAAACCCUCUUGGUGAGAAAGUCUUCUAGCUUAACACAUCUGAAUUUUUAUUUUUUCUUAUUCCUUUGGUAAUGAUCUGUGUCUGAGAUGGCUAACUGCUCCCCACUAUCCAUACUCCCCUUUCUCCUUUCCAGCCACAGGUGCCUGGCAACACACCACAGACAUAUUCUGCACUUUCUCCCAAGAAUUGUGGCCAUUUGCCUCGGUUCAGGUUAAUGGCAUGUGAGAGCACAGUGUGCAUGUAAUUUCUGGGUAAAAUAACUAAAAAUAAUAGCCACAUCAAUGUUCUUUCUACCUUUCCUGCUGAGAACUGGCCAUAACUGGAGUUCUAGUCCUUGACCAAGAAGCAGUGUGUUGAAGACAAUGGUGUUGCUCCAUCAGCCUUUGUACCAGAUCCGCCACACCAAGGGUAGUCAUCUUAUCACCCUAGGCCAUUUGCUUAUCUUUAGACAGCCAAGUAAAGGAAGAUAAAUUUCUCUCUCCUCUAGGUGUAACUUUACAACAGCAAAUCAGCCCUUGCCAUUCCCAAUAGAGUAUCUGAGAUAUAAUGUACCUUUUACUGUCCACUCUUGGCAUACU